RNAcentral lists this non-coding RNA (27 nucleotides) under Bombyx mori (domestic silkworm). The record is from RNAcentral. Lineage: Eukaryota; Metazoa; Arthropoda; Insecta; Lepidoptera; Bombycidae.
UUUCGCAUUUCUUGAGGCAAACGUGUC